This is a long non-coding RNA of Gossypium arboreum, 389 nucleotides long. RefSeq lists it as uncharacterized. The transcript has 3 exons. Lineage: Eukaryota; Viridiplantae; Streptophyta; Magnoliopsida; Malvales; Malvaceae. The record is from RefSeq and is a predicted model, not a curated record.
UGAAGUUUUAUUAAAAGAAAAGGGUGAAAAGAACAAAGUUUUGUCCAUCUUUGUUCAUCAUAGCUGAAAGUUAGAGAAGAGAAAGGAGAGGAGAAAGCUCUUGAGUAUUUGGUCAUUAGGAGGAGGAAAAUUGAAGGCAGUUCGUGUGUGGAUCUCGUCAGCAUAUCGUCGCAAACAGAUGUGUAACUAACACCCUCUUUCUUAGUCUAGAUCGGCAAAAGUCGAAAAGCCAAAAUGCCGAAAACCGAUAUUUUGUAGAUUUGCGAGUGUGCGAAUGCUCGUGAGGCAUCAUAUUAGAAAGGUGUUGAUUAAAGGUUGGUUGCCAAAAAAACGGGUUUCUGAUGGAGGAGUCAAUUACACAAAUGAUCGAGAAGAAUGCCGUGGUUCGG